CGUGCGAGAGCAGAACGUGCAUCUUCGAUUUUCAAAACAAUCCGAUUUCAACGGUCGCAAGAGGUUGCAAGAUUUUUGUAUUCUUUCGAUUGUUCCGCGGUAAAUAAUAGUGAAUAGUAAUUAUUACGGUGAAAAAUUGAGAACGAUAACGUGAGGAGUAGUAAUCCUACAUUAUGUAGAGGAUUUCUAGUGAGGAGUGGCCAAGAACGCAGGAAACCAAGAAGGUCAACCAACCAACCAAGAAGGAAACCAACAGUUACUGGCCUAGAUGUACAACCCGGACACGAAUAAGGGCGAUCCGGAUUCGAGCCGGAAGUUUCAGGAAGAUUUCGAGGUGAGGCGCCUUACAUACAAAGUAUUUAGUUAAGAACAAACGUCUUGAAAUCCCGCUUCAAGAGUGCAUGAGAACUUAAAACGCACAAAUCUCAAGAAGCAAGCGUCAAACAACAGCGUAUUUUAUUCUCCGUCAAAUUGCACAUUUCGGCAAAUCAUCCGAAGGUUCGAUUCCUAGUCGAUGAUAUCACCCAUCAAGCUGAGGAAGAAAUGAAAGAUAACGAGUGCGAGUUCAAGCACCGACAACGAGUCAAGCUGGCUAGAAUGCUGGUGGAGUGCAAUCCACGGGUAUAUCUAGCUGGUGAAAGCCGUAAAGAACAAAGUUUUGGCAUCGGGCGGAUAACACAGCAGGGUGAAAUACCGUUCUCUGCUGGAGGAUCCUUCGGUCGGCGGUCGAACGAAGUCAGGCAAAAAUACCCAACGUAUCGGAGCAUCGAAAAUCCUCCGUGGCAGCUGACAAAAUGCCUAGAAAGAUGAAACACCCGAAGGUCGCAAGAGCAGGAAGAGGAAAUCGGUGGUGGUGUAUCCGGCGCAGGGUGAUGAGGACACAGUCUAGCUCGAACCACCAGUGUAAAUGAAUGGGGGCUAUGAAAACAUGACUAAAGAGACUGCUCUGGAGGAGACCCCAAUGACGUCAUGCUGGAGGAAGAACCGACUGCCCAAUUGACCGAUAAAA
Long non-coding RNA from Aedes albopictus (Asian tiger mosquito), 1009 nucleotides. RefSeq lists it as uncharacterized. The transcript has 2 exons. NCBI's taxonomy places the organism in Eukaryota, Metazoa, Arthropoda, Insecta, Diptera, Culicidae. The record is from RefSeq and is a predicted model, not a curated record.